CAGCCGCCGCGGGAAUACAGAGGGUGCAAGCGUUAAUCGGAAUUACUUGGCGUAAAGCGCGCGUAGGUGGUUUGUUAAGUUGGAUGUGAAAGCCCCGGGCUCAACCUGGGAACUGCAUCCAAAACUGGCAAGCUAGAGUACGGUAGAGGGUGGUGGAAUUUCCUGUGUAGCGGUGAAAUGCGUAGAUAUAGGAAGGAACACCAGUGGCGAAGGCGACCACCUGGACUGAUACUGACACUGAGGUGCGAAAGCGUGGGGAGCAAACAGGAUUAGAUACCCCUGUAGUCCCUGUCUCUUAUAC
Molecule: ribosomal RNA, 301 nt
Filed under: uncultured bacterium
Lineage: Bacteria
Description: partial 16S ribosomal RNA
Rfam family: Bacterial small subunit ribosomal RNA
Source: RNAcentral